UGCGUAGGCGGUGCGGAAAGUUGGGUGUGAAAUCCCUCGGCUUAACCGAGGAAUUGCGCUCAAUACUACCGUGCUCGAGGGAGAUAGAGGAAUGCGGAACUUACGGUGGAGCGGUGAAAUGCGUUGAUAUCGUAGGGAACACCGGUGGCGAAAGCGGCAUUCUGGAUCUCUUCUGACGCUGAGGCACGAAAGCUGGGUAGCAAACG
RNAcentral lists this ribosomal RNA (206 nucleotides) under uncultured bacterium. Its description in RNAcentral is "partial 16S ribosomal RNA". It matches the Rfam family "Bacterial small subunit ribosomal RNA", at positions 568 to 774 of the family's 1533-position model. The record is from RNAcentral.